Molecule: non-coding RNA, 540 nt
Organism: Paralichthys olivaceus (Japanese flounder)
Lineage: Eukaryota; Metazoa; Chordata; Actinopteri; Pleuronectiformes; Paralichthyidae
Source: RefSeq, a predicted model, not a curated record
ACCGCCGGAGUCACUGACACGAGCAGGAAAAGGAAGAGGAAGAGGAAGCGGAGGAGGAAGCGGAACUGCACCUGCUGCAUGCCGGGGAAUGUAUUUCUCCGACGCUUCCCGCCACACCUGGAAACUGUGAGCGAAGUUUGACAUUUUGUCUGCGUCGUUUGAAAACUUCCUGAGGAUCCAUAACGUGACGGGUUAAUAUCAGAGAGAGAACAAGGAGCCUGGACUGAGACUAAACCACGGAUUCUUCUUCAUCAACCACAACAACACACUGUGUUUCCUCAUCACGUCUUCAUGCGAACAUUGUCCAGAGCAGACAGGAGAAGCUGUCAUGAUGUAUCUUGAGAGACAGAUUACGACGAGCACUGCUUCUGACAUGCGACAUGAUACGAUUGACAUGUGUCUGAUCUGAUAACAUGGAGGAGACCUAUACUGCAACCAGCCACCAGGGGGCAAAUGGCUUCAUGCUGUCCAUCUUCAUAUAUGGUGUGAAUAACCGGGACCGGAAGGGAGCACUAUACGUGUUUUAUAAUUAAAUCUCAU